CUUUAGGAAAACAAAACCAAAAAGUGGGUUUAUAGUUGCACACGUCGACUCCCCUAUGGGACAGCCAGUGAAGACCAUAUUUUGAUGUGGAUGAGCCCAAUGUGUGUGUCUUCGGGGGCCGGUGUAACCCGCUGUGCUGCUGCUUGUUGUGAGGCCAAAGCCUGGGACCUCAGGGGAUACUUGAUGUCCCUGCUUUUCUUCGUGGCGCAGGCCAUUAGGGAAGCGGGUCUCUCAGCCUCCACUCUGCCAGCUGCUCCAAAUUCACAGUGGCUACAAAACUAAGGCCUCCCAGUAGAGGGCAAGGGGCCCCUUGGUGUCAUUGUCCACGACUCAUCACCAUGGCAAGAGAAGCUGGAGACUCCCUGUUGCAAAGGCAGAAGUGUGGCACCAAGCAAAGGUGGUAUCUCUGUGAUCAUUUUUCUGGCCAGGCCUGCAUCCCAGUCCACUCUCGAGCCACCACAGUGCCCUGUGGCCUUCAGACCAGGGCCCCUGGCUCAUGGUGGUGGAGCUGCCCAGCUGAGCAUUUUAUAGAAGAGUUUCCCACAUGCAGAAAAUGCACCAAGGCCUCCUUGAGCUUUUGAACACAGAAGAGGUAAAGACAACAGCAGGACCACCAGGAGCUCCCAGCAAGGGGUGGGUACAGAAAAGGAGAGUGCCCCUGCUUUAGAGCCUGUUGGGCCCUCUCCACUCACUUCAGGUAACUGAGCUCGUCUUCAAGGUAUUAUAAAUGUUCAACAUUUUCUGACUCUUUUAGGUUGGACAACAUUAAAGUCUCCUGGGUAGAUGCUAGGGACACACAUAAUAAUAAGAAUAAUACCACCAUUUAUUAUUCUCUUAAUGUGUGCACUCCAAGCUGAAUGAAUUAUGUGAAUUUUCCCAUUCAGUCCUUACAGCUUUCCAAGAGACAUGUGCUGUCAUUCUCCCCAUUUCACAGUUUAAGAAACUGAGGCUUGGAGAAAUGAAGUCACUAACCCCAGGUCUCACUCGGAUAGUUAGGAUUAAAACAGAUGCCUGUUUGUCCCCAGGGUUUGUACCUUCCAUCCCUCCUACUACCAUCCCCUAAGGCCCUGAGCUGGGGGAGGAAGGGACAGUAGAGAGGAGGCCAUGCUGGCGGCAACCCUUGGUCAAGUUCAUCCUGCCUCCACACAGGUUGUCUUUCUGGUCUUGGGGACUGUGGCCUGAUGGUAGGCAAAGAGGCCUCCAGAUAUCAUGGCAGGCAGGUGGUGGCCUCACCCAUAUCUCUGGUGGCUGAGCUCCCCUGCUGCUUGGGCUAACUGAUUCUGCCCCCCACCUUGAGCCCAGAUAGUGAUUUCCCAGACCCUGGCCCCUGGCCCCUGGCAGGCAGGCAGUCAUGAGAUUGGGGACUCACCCAUAAGGUCAGAGAUGCCAAAUAAAAGUGGGCGGAGAACCUGC
Molecule: long non-coding RNA, 1413 nt
Organism: Neogale vison (American mink)
Lineage: Eukaryota; Metazoa; Chordata; Mammalia; Carnivora; Mustelidae
Exons: 2
Source: RefSeq, a predicted model, not a curated record